Molecule: unclassified non-coding RNA, 226 nt
Filed under: uncultured fungus
Lineage: Eukaryota; Fungi
Description: sequence contains ITS1, 5.8S rRNA gene
Rfam family: 5.8S ribosomal RNA (bases 178-226)
Source: RNAcentral
UCUCCGUAGGUGAACCUGCGGAGGGAUCAUUACUGAGUGAGGGCUCACGCCCGACCUCCAACCCCAUGUGAACCGCAACUGUUGCUUCGGGGGCGACCCUGCCGUCCGCGGCUGAGCGCCCCCGGGGUCAAUCAAACACUGCAUUCUCUGCGUCGGAGUUUAAAACAAAUUAAACAAAACUUUCAACAACGGAUCUCUUGGUUCUGGCAUCGAUGAAGAACGCAGC